This 457-nucleotide ribosomal RNA is filed under the name uncultured bacterium. RNAcentral describes it as "bacterial SSU rRNA". It matches the Rfam family "Bacterial small subunit ribosomal RNA", at positions 28 to 507 of the family's 1533-position model. The record is from RNAcentral.
GACGAACGCUGGCGGCGUGCUUAACACAUGCAAGUCGAACGGGAGUAUUGAAGAAGCUUGCUUUAGAGAUACUUUAGUGGCGGACGGGUGAGUAACGCGUGAGGAGCUGUCCUAUGCAGGGGGACAACAGCUGGAAACGGCUGCUAAUACCCCAUAAGCCGAGAGGUAAAAGGAUCAAUCCGGCAGAGGAGGUACUCGCGUCCUAUCAGCUAGUAGGUGAGGUAACGGCUCACCUAGGCGAAGACGGGUAGCCGGCCUGAGAGGGCGAACGGCCAACACUGGAACUGAGAUACGGUCCAGACUCCUACGGGAGGCAGCAGUGGGGAAUAUUGGGCAAUGGGGGAAACCCUGACCCAGCGACGCCGCGUGGGUGAAGAAAUCCUUCGGGAUGUAAAGCCCUGUUGUAUGGGAAGAGCGGAAGACGGUACCAUACGAGGAAGCCCCGGCAAACUACGUG